RNAcentral lists this ribosomal RNA (486 nucleotides) under uncultured bacterium. RNAcentral describes it as "bacterial SSU rRNA". It matches the Rfam family "Bacterial small subunit ribosomal RNA", at positions 903 to 1397 of the family's 1533-position model. The record is from RNAcentral.
AAAUGAAUUGACGGGGGCCCGCACAAGCAGUGGAGUAUGUGGUUUAAUUCGAAGCAACGCGAAGAACCUUACCGGGUCUUGACAUGGGGACGACAGGCGCAGAGAUGUGCCCUUCUUCGGACGUCCCACACAGGUGGUGCAUGGUUGUCGUCAGCUCGUGUCGUGAGAUGUUGGGUUAAGUCCCGCAACGAGCGCAACCCUUAUUAUUAGUUGCUACGAAAGAGCACUCUAAUGAGACUGCCGUUGGCAAAACGGAGGAAGGUGGGGAUGACGUCAAAUCAUCAUGCCCUUUAUGACCCGGGCUACACACGUACUACAAUGGCGUUUAACAAUGGGCUGCGAAGCGGCGACGCUGAGCGAAUCCCCAAAAAGCGCCUCAGUUCGGAUUGCAGGCUGCAACCCGCCUGUAUGAAGCCGGAAUUGCUAGUAAUCGCGAAUCAGCAUGUCGCGGUGAAUACGUUCCCGGGCCUUGUACACACCGCCCGU